UGGGGAAUAUUGCACAAUGGGCGCAAGCCUGAUGCAGCCAUGCCGCGUGUGUGAAGAAGGCCUGAGGGUUGUAAAGCACUUUCAGUGGGGAGGAGGAUUGAUUGGUUAAGAGCUGAUUGAUUGGACGUUACCCACAGAAGAAGCACCGGCUAACUCCGUGCCAGCAGCCGCGGUAAUACGGAGGGUGCAAGCGUUAAUCGGAAUUACUGGGCGUAAAGGGUGCGUAGGUGGUUAGAUAAGUUAUCUGUAAAAUCCCCGGGCUCAACCUGGGCAGGUCAGAUAAGACUGUUUGACUCGAGUAUGGGAGAGGGUAGUGGAAUUUCCGGUGUAGCGGUGAAAUGCGUAGAGAUCGGAAGGAACACCAGUGGCGAAGGCGGCUACCUGGCCUAAUACUGACACUGAGGCACGAAAGCGUGGGGAGCAAACA
Molecule: ribosomal RNA, 427 nt
Filed under: uncultured Legionella sp.
Lineage: Bacteria; Pseudomonadati; Pseudomonadota; Gammaproteobacteria; Legionellales; Legionellaceae
Description: bacterial SSU rRNA
Rfam family: Bacterial small subunit ribosomal RNA
Source: RNAcentral